CAAAAGUUUGGUCCUGACUUUACUAUCAGCUCUAGCUAGAUUUACACAUGCAAGUAUCCGCACCCCUGUGAGAAUGCCCCAACAGUUCCCUGCCUGGGAACGAGGAGCUGGUAUCAGGCACAUACCUUAAGCCCAUGACACCUUGCUUAGCCACACCCCCAAGGGAGUUCAGCAGUGAUAAACAUUAAGCCCUGAGCGAAAGCUUGACUUAGUUAAAGCUAAAAGGGCCGGUAAAACUCGUGCCAGCCACCGCGGUUAGACGAGAGGCCCAAGUUGAUAGCCACCGGCGUAAAGCGUGGUUAAAGAAAUUGAAACACUAAGACUAAAUGCUUUUGCUGCUGUUAUACGCACACAAAAGUUAGAAGCCCGACUACGAAGGUGGUCUUAAUACAUCUUGAACCCACGAAAGCUAUGAAACAAACUGGGAUUAGAUACCCCACUAUGCCUAGCCUUAAACAUUGAUAGUAUCUUACACCCACUAUCCGCCCGGGUACUACGAGCAUCAGCUUAAAACCCAAAGGACUUGGCGGUGCUUUAGACCCACCUAGAGGAGCCUGUUCUAGAACCGAUAAUCCCCGUCUAACCUCACCUUUUCUUGUUUUUCCCGCCUAUAUACCGCCGUCGUCAGCUUACCCUGUGAAGGUCUAAUAGUUAGCGAAAUUGGCACAGCCCAGAACGUCAGGUCGAGGUGUAGCGAAUGAAAAGGGAAGAAAUGGGCUACAUUCCUUGUUUUAAGGAAUACGGAUGAUGAACUGAAACAUUUAUCUGAAGGAGGAUUUAGUAGUAAGCAGAAAAUAGAGAGUUCUGCUGAAAUUGGCCCUGAAGCGCGUACACACCGCCCGUCACUCUCCCCGAAUGUGUCUUUACCGAUAUUUAAUCUCAAUUAACUUUAGAGGGGAGGCAAGUCGUAACAUGGUAAGUGUACCGGAAGGUGCACUUGGAAUAAC
RNAcentral lists this non-coding RNA (947 nucleotides) under Apistus carinatus (ocellated waspfish). Its description in RNAcentral is "12S rRNA". It matches the Rfam family "Bacterial small subunit ribosomal RNA". Lineage: Eukaryota; Metazoa; Chordata; Actinopteri; Perciformes; Apistidae. The record is from RNAcentral.